AUUUAAGUAAUUUAAGUAAAAUAUUGAUUUGUGGAAUCAAAAAUAUUGAUAAUCUUAAAUA
This 61-nucleotide transfer RNA is filed under the name Sycobia sp. 2 JXW-2020. Its description in RNAcentral is "tRNA-His". The record is from RNAcentral. Lineage: Eukaryota; Metazoa; Arthropoda; Insecta; Hymenoptera; Epichrysomallidae.